This 342-nucleotide ribosomal RNA is filed under the name uncultured eukaryote. RNAcentral describes it as "SSU rRNA". It matches the Rfam family "Eukaryotic small subunit ribosomal RNA", at positions 594 to 945 of the family's 1831-position model. The record is from RNAcentral.
AUAGCAUAUAUUAAAGUUGUUGCAGUUAAAAAGCUCGUAGUUGGAUUUCUGGAAGGGUUCCAAUGUCCGCUCGAUAGCGUGUGCAGCGGCGCCCUUCCAUCCUUCUGUUAACGUUUCUUGGUAUUCAGUUACUGGUUUCGGGCUCAGAUAUUUUACCUUGAGAAAAUUAGAGUGUUCCAGGCAGGCUUGCGCCGGAAUACAUUAGCAUGGAAUAAUAGAAUAGGACUUUAGUCUCCUUUGUUGGUUUGAGGGAUUGAAGUAAUGAUUAAUAGGGAUAGUUGGGGGCAUUAGUAUUUAAUUGUCAGAGGUGAAAUUCUCGGAUUUGUUAAAGACUAACUUAUG